This 75-nucleotide transfer RNA is filed under the name Synechococcus sp. CCY0470. RNAcentral describes it as "tRNA-Ile". It matches the Rfam family "tRNA". From Rfam's summary of the family: Transfer RNA (tRNA) molecules are approximately 80 nucleotides in length. Their secondary structure includes four short double-helical elements and three loops (D, anti-codon, and T loops). The record is from RNAcentral. Lineage: Bacteria; Bacillati; Cyanobacteriota; Cyanophyceae; Synechococcales; Synechococcaceae.
UGGGCCAUUAGCUCAGGUGGUUAGAGCGCACCCCUGAUAAGGGUGAGGUCCCUGGUUCAAGUCUAGGAUGGCCCA